RNAcentral lists this ribosomal RNA (707 nucleotides) under uncultured bacterium. RNAcentral's name for it is "bacterial SSU rRNA". It matches the Rfam family "Bacterial small subunit ribosomal RNA", at positions 66 to 789 of the family's 1533-position model. The record is from RNAcentral.
GAUGAGUAGCAAUACGAGUGAUGUUCUAGCGGCGGACGGGUGAGUAACGCGUGAGCAAUCUGUCUCUUACAGGGGGAUAACGCAUCGAAAGAUGUGCUAAUACCGCAUAAGACCACGACAAGGACAUCUUGAUGAGGUCAAAGGAGCAAUUCGGUAAGAGGUGAGCUCGCGUCUGAUUAGCUAGUUGGUGAGGUAAUGGCCCACCAAGGCAACGAUCAGUAGCCGACCUGAGAGGGUGAUCGGCCACACUGGAACUGAGACACGGUCCAGACUCCUACGGGAGGCAGCAGUGGGGAAUAUUGGGCAAUGGGCGAAAGCCUGACCCAGCAACGCCGCGUGAAGGAAGAAGGUUUUCGGAUCGUAAACUUCUAUCCUUGGUGAAGAUAAUGACGGUAGCCGAGAAGGAAGCCCCGGCUAACUACGUGCCAGCAGCCGCGGUAAUACGUAGGGGGCAAGCGUUGUCCGGAAUGAUUGGGCGUAAAGGGCGCGUAGGCGGCCAACUAAGUCUGAAGUGAAAGUCCUGCUUUUAAGGUGGGAAUUGCUUUGGAAACUGGAUGGCUUGAGUGCAGGAGAGGUUAGUGGAAUUCCCGGUGUAGCGGUGAAAUGCGUAGAGAUCGGGAGGAACACCAGUGGCGAAGGCGACUAACUGGACUGUAACUGACGCUGAGGCGCGAAAGUGUGGGGAGCAAACAGGAUUAGAUACCCUG